This 490-nucleotide ribosomal RNA is filed under the name uncultured bacterium. RNAcentral's name for it is "partial 16S ribosomal RNA". It matches the Rfam family "Bacterial small subunit ribosomal RNA", at positions 30 to 507 of the family's 1533-position model. The record is from RNAcentral.
AUUGAACGCUGGCGGCAGGCCUAACACAUGCAAGUCGAACGGUAACAGGAAACAGCUUGCUGUUUCGCUACCGGGUGGCGGAGGGGUGGGUAAUGUCUGGGAAACUGCCUGAUGGGGGGGGAUAACUCCUGGAAACGGUACCUAAUCCCGCAUAACGUCGCAAGCCCAAAGAGGGGGCCCUUCGGGCCUCUUGCCAUCGGAUGUGCCCAGAUGGGAUUAGCUAGUAGGUGGGGUAACGGCUCACCUAGGCGACGAUCCCUAGCUGGUCUGAGAGGAUGACCAGCCACACUGGAACUGAGACACGGUCCAGACUCCUACGGGAGGCAGCAGUGGGGAAUAUUGCACAAUGGGCGCAAGCCUGAUGCAGCCAUGCCGCGUGUAUGAAGAAGGCCUUCGGGUUGUAAAGUACUUUCAGCGGGGAGGAAGGGAGUAAAGUUAAUACCUUUACUCAUUGACGUUACCCGCAGAAGAAGCACCGGCUAACUCCGUG